AGAACGAACGCUGGCGGCAGGCUUAACACAUGCAAGUCGAACGCCCCGCAAGGGGAGUGGCGGACGGGUGAGUAACGCGUGGGAAUCUACCCUGGGGUACGGAAUAACCGCGGGAAACUGCGGCUAAUACCGCAUACGCUCUCCAGUUCUGCUGGAGAGGAAAGAUUUAUCGCCCUGGGAUGAGCCCGCGUCCGAUUAGGUAGUUGGCGGGGUAACGGCCCACCAAGCCUGCGAUCGGUAGCUGGUCUGAGAGGAUGGUCAGCCACACUGGGACUGCGACACGGCCCAGACUCCUACGGGAGGCAGCAGUGGGGAAUAUUGGACAAUGGGGGAAACCCUGAUCCAGCCAUGCCGCGUGCGUGAUGAAGGCCUUAGGGUUGUAAAGCGCUUUCGGCGGGGACGAUGAUGACGGUACCCGCAGAAGAAGCCCCGGCUAACUUCGUGCCAGCAGCCGCGGUAAUACGAAGGGGGCUAGCGUUGUUCGGAAUUACUGGGCGUAAAGGGCGCGUAGGCUGCCCUGCAAGUCGGAGGUGAAAGUCCUGGGCUCAACCUGGGGAUUGCCUUCGAGACUGCGGGGCUGGAGACCGGGAGAGGGUAGCGGAAUUCCCAGUGUAGAGGUGAAAUUCGUAGAUAUUGGGAAGAACACCAGUGGCGAAGGCGGCUACCUGGACCGGUUCUGACGCUGAGGCGCGAAAGCGUGGGGAGCAAACAGGAUUAGAUACCCUGGUAGUCCACGCCGUAAACGAUGAGUGCUAGACGUCGGGGGGUUGCCUCUCGGUGUCGCAGCUAACGCACUAAGCACUCCGC
This 807-nucleotide ribosomal RNA is filed under the name uncultured bacterium. RNAcentral describes it as "bacterial SSU rRNA". It matches the Rfam family "Bacterial small subunit ribosomal RNA", at positions 26 to 872 of the family's 1533-position model. The record is from RNAcentral.